RNAcentral lists this ribosomal RNA (23 nucleotides) under Ficus laevis. Its description in RNAcentral is "partial 28S ribosomal RNA". Lineage: Eukaryota; Viridiplantae; Streptophyta; Magnoliopsida; Rosales; Moraceae. The record is from RNAcentral.
CCAACGCGACCCCAGUCAGGCGG